CACUUUGCCCUCGCCAUCUUCUUCCCCCAAUUUUUGCCUCUUGAUUUUAUUGGUUUCUUGAUUAUUGGAUUUUGAUUUCUUGAUUUAGGUUUUUUUCCUGAAUGAUAUGUGUGCAGAUCGGGCGAGGAAGAGAAGAGGAAGGAUCUCGAGGAAGAAUUAAGAACAAAACGAGAGAUGCAGAUCAAGGAGGUCGGCAGAUGGGAUGAGGUUGGGUGAGGUGCACGAGGACAAAGGUGCAGGAGCCCCUACAGCCCUACUGGCCCUGAUCCCAAAUCCCAUGGACCGGCCCUGACCUCCUGGUCGUCGAAUGAACAAGUCUGCUUGCUAAAAAAAAUAAGUUUUCUUAAUCAGUAUAUAUGGCAUCUCUGCACAUGUCCUUUCUUCGUGGAUAGGCCACAAGCUUUGUUAGUUGUAUGAUGGAGAUGGAAUUUCAGGUUGAUAGUUUCAACAAUAGUUAUCUAUAUUAGUUAUUGUCAGUCUGACAGACUUUUGUCACCUUCUAUCAUGUUUACAUGUAAGUAAGUUGAACAGGCUAUGCAAACUACUGCAUAAAAAAGUGCACGUAGCACAACCUAUAGAGAGGUCCAGAAUUGAUUUUGUGUGAUGCAACCAGGAACGACAAAGGCUUACUAUGUUCCAUUAAAGCAGAUAAGAAAAUAAUUUAGUUCGGAUGAAUUGAUUAAUUAUAAAAAGUUGAUAGUCCAUUGCGUGGAUCUUUGAGUUUGGUGUUGCUUUUCUUCUUCAAAUUCACGGAUCUAGCUUCAAUCAAAAAACCGAGAGCAACCUUCAUUAACUUGAAGACUCCCUUUUUCGGAUCUGGAGUAUAGCAAUAGGUCAUCAGUUGUGGUGUCAAAUACAAGAUUAGGCUAUUUAAAGCUUGCCAUGUAGUAGACCUACAAGGAGAACAAAAAAUAUAACUUAUGUUGGUUAGAACAGAUGCUCAGCUUGCCUUGUUUUUUGCCUCUUUUUGGUCCUGUUAAGAAGAGAUGCUAAAUGCUGGUUCCUGACCACGUCCCUUGUUGGGCGCCCUCGAUAUCUCAACCUUGUGGCGAUAUGGUCAUUUAUUUUGAGUAAUUGUUUUAUAGAGAUGUAUGGUUACCUGAAUAGGCUUACAUAUAUAGUCCAGUAAGAAAACUAUAUAAAUUCCUGAGAACACUAACUGCUAGCUUAUACACUUGCUUGCCGAGUUAACAUGUUAAUAUGCCUGUUUCUCUCGUUUCCAGCGCACCACCAUGCAUGUUCAGUUUGAUGCUUUGGGUCGAAUGUGUGUAGCGAGAAUAAAGGUAGUAGAUGCAGACUGUAAAGAUAGUAUAUACAUUCAUACGUGAUAAGCGAUUAGGUAGUAGUUGCUGCUUACUCACAAGGGUUGGAUUGGUGGGAAGAAGUUUACAAAGGCCUACUGGAACUGUUUAUGGAAGUCGUUGUCUGGCCAUACUGAACAUACUUUCUGCAACUAAACUGAUCAGGUUGGCUUGUCUUUGGAAAUCUUUGCCUAAUGUGUUCUUCAUUGGCCUGCUUUUAUAUUAGCAGUUUUGUUCUUUUGUCUCUUCUGUGAUAGUUUUAGGCGAGAACAGAGUGUUUAGAAUUGUGAUAUAGUCUACAGACUUUUCGUAAUUCUUAAAAUAUGCCGGUAGUGGUGUGUGCACAAAUAUAUGUGCCUGGAUUUGUUUGAUACGCCUACUGUAUUUCAGGCGUGUUACUCUUUCUUGGAUAAAUUGACUGAUGCUUGCUUCUUUUAAUAAAAGAUCCUAGAUUAGGAUCUACUGUGCUGUGCUGAAUGCAAUUGUCUUAAUCUAGACAGCAGCCGAGCCCAGUCAACAAUUCCUUAGACGAGGCAGAGGAGAGCAGAGAGGGCCAGCCGUUGUAUUUACAAUUCAUGCAAGUAGCUGCUGAUUCCAUUCAUAUUUACUGCUUCCUCCUAUUUAUUGGCUGCGUUCAUUUGUGUGCUCUGGUUGUUUAUUGUUGUUGUGCUCAUUUCCUCUGUUCAUUGUUGUUGUGCGCAUUCUCCACUUCUAUGUCAUGAAAAUAUUCUUGCUUAAUAAUUUAAAAUGGUUUCCUGUGUCUCUUGUGGUCUAUUCCCAGUCCUAUCAUCCCAUCAUUCUUCCUCUUUACUGGUUGGCUUGGUUUUCCUUGCGCCUGUGCAGAUUUGCUUGAGGGUUUGUUCUGUUGUGUUCCCUGAAUCCUCGUAACUGCUGUGCUUUCUGCCAUGUUUUUCUUCUUCGUUUUCAUGUGGAAGUAUUUGAUAUCCUGGGGAUGGAUGAUUUAUUCAAAGAAUGUCCCGGGAUCUGUGAAUCUCGGAAUAGAAUCAACAUGAAUGUUGAGACAUGUUUUUUCCUGAAGGUAAUACUUUUCCCUGUUACCAAGCAUUUUCCUCAUGUUUGCUUCUAAAAUGUAACUGGCAAGGCUUAUAUGAUUUGUGGGUGUAUGAUCUGGACUGUGCUUCUCUGAAAGUAUGCUCUUGGGAGAUUUUUGCUUGGUAAACAAAUGACAUGCUAAAAUGUUGGUUGUUCCCUGUUCUUCUAAAAAAAAGUUUGGUAUUGAUUCAUGAUUUGUGCUUAAUACAUGAUGUUGGUAUAUGAUCACUUUAUUGCUCAUGCCUCACUUGAUGUUGAAUGGUGUACAGGCAAAGUGCCAAUGGAGUGGCAUAUAUUGUACUUCGCUACUACCUACAUGCGAUUCCAUUUGAUUUCACUUUGAUUUUGUUUUUCUGCUGAUCGUUUAUAGGUGGUUGUUGAUGAAUCAUGUAAGGAUGGUGCAGAACUCACAAGAGGGAAAUGACCGAACUGCGGUAACCAAAUCAAAUAGCUGAUAAGGUUCACUUGGAAGUGGUUGAGGUAGCCUGACCUGGUGAGGAUCCAACUAACGAACUGACAUGGUGACGCGAUGCGUACAUCGGAGGAAGUAGAUCUUGUGCGUGCGGGAGUGGAUCUUGCAAUUGAAGUCGUCUCUCCGACGCAGAGGAGCAGCGGCGAAGUGGCGGAAACUACAGGGUGAGUGAGAGAUUGGAGAAGGAGGGGAUGGUCAUGAAGUGAGUAAGUGGAUUAACAUCGUUUGGUCAGGUAACUUGGGCCGGCCCAUUAUUGUGAAUUUGUCAUUUGUCUUCUUGUAAGCCCACAACACGGUUUAAAUAUGUAUUGGGAGUUUGGGACAACUAAAUCAGAUAAAUGAAAGAAAUUAUAACGCU
This is a long non-coding RNA of Triticum dicoccoides, 3184 nucleotides long. RefSeq lists it as uncharacterized. NCBI's taxonomy places the organism in Eukaryota, Viridiplantae, Streptophyta, Magnoliopsida, Poales, Poaceae. The record is from RefSeq and is a predicted model, not a curated record. The transcript has 4 exons.